UAGGCAAGUACACUACCACUGAGCCACAACAUCAGCCCUGUAAAUGCUACUUUUCUUAAAGAUAAUAAAUUUUAUUUGUCCAUGGGUUUUAUUGAAGAAAUUUGUUCAAAUUGUUUAUCUUGGUUUACAGAGUGGUGCAGACCAGCAAUCAAAGCUGCUUGGGAGGCUGAGGCAGGACAGCAAGUUUGAGGCCAGCCUAAGCAACUUAGCCAGACCCUGUGUCAAAAUAAAUAUGAAGAGGCCUGGGAGUAUAGAUGAAUGGUAGAGAGCCCCUGGGUUUAUCCCUUAUACCCUCAAAAAACAAAAUUAACAAACCAACGAUUUAUCUUUCAACACCCUUUUCUAGAAAAAAUACAGAAAACAACUUUGUGCUCUCAAGGUAUCCAUGACAGUAAAAUCCAUUUUGAUGCAUUUAUACAAGAAUGGAGUAUGUGUUAUUUUAAUUAGGAUCCCAGUCUUGUGGAUAUACAUGAUGUUUACAAAAUAGAGGAGGAAGAUCAUUUCAUGAUGACAUUCGGCUCAUGUGACAGAAGGAAACUGGCCACACAUGUGUUUGGAAAUCAUCUAGAACAGAAAGCCCUAAAGGAAAUUCCAGUGAAUGGAGCAGCCACAGUUCAUCCCAGGUUAGUUUCAGCUUUAGUGCAGCCACAAUGAGUACUUUCCUGUUGAAAGUGCCAACAUUAGUUAAUACCAACUCAAAUCAAGUCUUAGCACUUGCAAGUUGUAAGAAGAUUUAGCAUUUUUUCCCUUAAAUUCACAUGCUAUUUUGUACUUCUUGGAACUCAUUAUUAAUUUUUAUUAUAAUUUAGCAGGAAUUUCAUCAAUUUUCAUAUUUUAUAAUAAUAGAAAAACUUGGAAGAAAUAAAAUCAGGGCUUUGUUAACAUUAUUUAGUUCAAAUUUUUAAUUGUAGCUUUGGAAUGUUGGCUACUUUGAAAAAGGUGUCAGUUAAGAAAACUUCCCCCAGUAUUCACAGAUCAAUGCUAGAACUCCUGAAAAAUAAUGAAUGAGGAAUGAGAAAUUUGGUAAGUUACAAAAAAGUGUAUGAUUUUGUGGUUUUAAAAUUAUCUCUUUAUAUUUAUCAAGUUUGUUACUAAAUAUAAUCUUAAAUACUGAAUAAAGACAUAGAAGACUUUAACUUUUUUAUUUUUUUUUAUUUUUGUGGUGCUGGGGAUUAGAACCCAGGGCCUUGUGUAUGCAAGAUAGGCACUCUAUCAACUGAGCUGUAUCCCCAACCUGUAGAAGACUUUUAAAUUCCAUGUAUUACAAAGUCAUCAACUGAAACUUUAAAAAAAAUAGCUACUGGGUAUUAUGUUUUAU
Molecule: long non-coding RNA, 1318 nt
Organism: Ictidomys tridecemlineatus (thirteen-lined ground squirrel)
Lineage: Eukaryota; Metazoa; Chordata; Mammalia; Rodentia; Sciuridae
Source: RefSeq, a predicted model, not a curated record